AAGGUCUCCCUGGAGCCUUCUCUUCUCCAGGUGAACACUCUCAGCUCUCCCAGCCUGGCUCCAGAGCAGAGGUGGAAUUUCGCCUAAGUGAAAUCAACAUUGAAUAGACUGAUUUCUCCUAACCCUUCCUGAAAAAGAGACAGGACACUGCCAAAGCUCAUUGAAGCUCCAGGAGUGAUAACUACUUUCCAUUCAGGAGAAUGAUCACAUUCCUGGGAUGCUUAGAUUAGGUUUAAGAUUUCAAAAGUCAGCAACUGUUUAAUAAAAAGCUCAUAAGCAGAGUGGAAACAAGGACAAGAUUAAAGGAAUUUUCUUCUCCGUUCCUGCUAGAUCAGAUCCCUUAGGCUUGCCUUGUGCCAUAUGAAUCUUGUAUUUCUUGUCAGACACUAAUAGAGUUUCAAGAGGAGGAAGAAACCCAGAUAAGCAUCUGGCUGCAUGUUGGGGAAGGAGAUUGAGGUCUGGAACUACCUUCUCCUCACACAUACACAUAUUCCUCCUCACACCAGGGAGGACAAGGACAAGAGAUUAUCUACUUCCUCGUGAAAGCUCACCAAUAUACAGACAUAAAUUAAAUGGAAGAGGUCCUUAAACCACUACUCCCCAUUGAAGUGAACAAGGCAUGCCUGGGUCCAGCCAAGAGUCUGGAUCAUCAGGCAACGUCUGACAUCACGCUGAGAAGUCAGCUACAGGCAAGGCCGUUCAACUAAACCUGUGAUGAGAGAAAAUAGGAGCGAUGUUCCUCCAGAUGAGCCAGCUGGGUCAGUUCCCCACAGCUGCUGGAGUGCUGGAGCCA
This is a long non-coding RNA of Corapipo altera (White-ruffed manakin), 793 nucleotides long. RefSeq lists it as uncharacterized. The transcript has 3 exons. NCBI's taxonomy places the organism in Eukaryota, Metazoa, Chordata, Aves, Passeriformes, Pipridae. The record is from RefSeq and is a predicted model, not a curated record.